AUUUUUUCUGGAAAACUGCUCUCAAACCCCCCUUUUUUUAUCUCUUCCUCAUUUCUUCAGCUAAGGUUUCAACACCCAUCAUCGCCGGCAGUUCACCGUGCCGAACGGAGAGGGGAGCGGCCACGGGGUAGAUCCGGGCAUGGGCAUGGACGGUGGGGUGUGUGAUGGUGCUGGUGGCAGACAACAUAGGAGAGUGGGAGUGGUGCUGGUGGCAGACAGCAUGGGAGAGUGUUGGCCAAGGUUGAGGGGUGUGCUGUUUUUUUUUUUUUCUUUGCUGGAAAAUGUUUGGUGAUGGUGGGCUAGGGUUAGUGGGUGAGUUUAGGUGGGCUGUUGGUUUAGAUUGGGUUUGAUGAUGUUGGGCUGAUGAAAUUGGGGUGGGUAUUUGGUUGUAUUUGGGCCAAAAUUGGCCUACAACAAAUAUCUUAUUAAAAAUUUAAAAUUUAAUUAAUAACACAUAUUCAUAUUUAACAGAA
Long non-coding RNA from Gossypium arboreum, 473 nucleotides. RefSeq lists it as uncharacterized. The record is from RefSeq and is a predicted model, not a curated record. The transcript has 2 exons. NCBI's taxonomy places the organism in Eukaryota, Viridiplantae, Streptophyta, Magnoliopsida, Malvales, Malvaceae.